This is a long non-coding RNA of Contarinia nasturtii (swede midge), 190 nucleotides long. RefSeq lists it as uncharacterized. NCBI's taxonomy places the organism in Eukaryota, Metazoa, Arthropoda, Insecta, Diptera, Cecidomyiidae. The record is from RefSeq and is a predicted model, not a curated record. The transcript has 3 exons.
UUUGACAGAUGAGCGGUUUUAUGUGAGUGAAGCUUUAGCAUUGAAAUUGGUUUCUUUCUUUCUCGUUCGACAGCCAACUAAAUAUGCAGCAAAAGAAAAGAGAACCUUUGCAAGCUGUGCAAGUCUUUGGCAAAAAGAAAACAGCCACUGCUGUUGCCCAUUGCAAACGCGGUCAUGGAUUGAUCCGUGU